This 810-nucleotide ribosomal RNA is filed under the name uncultured Chloroflexota bacterium. RNAcentral's name for it is "bacterial SSU rRNA". It matches the Rfam family "Bacterial small subunit ribosomal RNA", at positions 512 to 1335 of the family's 1533-position model. The record is from RNAcentral. Lineage: Bacteria; Bacillati; Chloroflexota.
CAGCCGCGGUGAGACGUAGGAACGCAAGCGUUAUCCGGAUUUACUGGGCGUAAAGCGUCUGUAGGCGGAUCGAUAAGUUGGGCGUGAAAGCUCCGUGCUUAACGCGGAGAGGUCGUUCAAGACUGUCGAACUAGAGGGCAUCAGAGGAGCAUGGAAUUUCCGGUGUAGCGGUAAAAUGCGCAGAUAUCGGAAGGAACACCAGUGGCGAAGGCGGUGCUCUGGGGUGUACCUGACGCUGAGAGACGAAAGCUAGGGGAGCGAACAGGAUUAGAGACCCUGGUAGUCCUAGCCCUAAACGAUGGAUGCUAGAUGUGGGGUCGAGAAGACUCUGUGUCGCAGUUAACGCGCUAAGCAUCCCGCCUGGGGAUUACGGCCGCAAGGCUAAAACUCAAACGAAUUGACGGGGCCCCGCACAAGCAGCGGAGCGUGUGGUUUAAUUCGAUGCUACACGAAGAACCUUACCUGGGUUUGACAUGUAGGUGGUAGAGAAGCGAAAGCGGAUCGACCCUUCGGGGAGCCUACACAGGUGCUGCAUGGCUGUCGUCAGCUCGUGCCGUGAGGUGUCGGGUUAAGUCCCGUAACGAGCGCAACCCUUGCCCUUAGUUACAAGUGUCUAAGGGGACUGCCGGCGGUAAGCCGGAGGAAGGUGGGGAUGACGUCAAGUCAGCAUGGCCCUUAUAUCCAGGGCUACACACACGCUACAAUGGUCAGUACAAAGGGCAGCGAAGCCGCGAGGUGAAGCGAAUCCCAACAAAGCUGAUCUAAGUUCGGAUUGCAGGCUGCAACUCGCCUGCAUGAAGCUGGAGUUGC